UACGGGGGGGGCAAGCGUUGUUCGGAAUUACUGGGCGUAAAGGGCCAGUAGGCGGCCAACUAAGUCGGACGUGAAAUCCCCAGGCUCAACCUGGGAACUGCGUCCGAUACUGGAUGGCUUGAAUUCGGGAGAGGGAUGCAGAAUUCCAGGUGUAGCGGUGAAAUGCGUAGAUAUCUGGAGGAAUACCGGUGGCGAAGGCGGCAUCCUGGACCGACAUUGACGCUGAACGGCGAAAGCUAGGGGAGCAAACGGG
RNAcentral lists this ribosomal RNA (253 nucleotides) under uncultured bacterium. RNAcentral describes it as "partial 16S ribosomal RNA". It matches the Rfam family "Bacterial small subunit ribosomal RNA", at positions 524 to 776 of the family's 1533-position model. The record is from RNAcentral.